AGCAGCCGCGGUAAUUCCAGCUCCAAUAGCGUAUAUUAAAGUUGUUGCAGUUAAAAAGCUCGUAGUUGAAUUUCGGGAUCAGUACGCUGGUCGUGCCCUUGGUAUGUACUGGUGUUACUGGUUCCUACCUUCUGACGAACCGUCAUGUCAUUAAUUUGGUGUGGCGGGAAAUCAGGACUGUUACUUUGAAAAAUUAGAGUGUUUAAAGCAGGCUCGCGCUUGAAUACAUUAGCAUGGAAUAAUGAAAUAGGACGUUCGAUCCUAUUUUGUUGGUUUUCUAGGAUUGACGUAAUGAUUAAUAGGGAUAGUUGGGGGCAUUAGUAUUCAAUUGUCAGAGGUGAAAUUCUUGGAUUUAUUGAAGACUAACUACUGCGAAAGCAUUUGCCAAGGAUGUUUUCAUUAAUCAAGAACGAAAGUUAGGGGAUCGAAGACGAUCAGAUACCGUCGUAG
This 450-nucleotide ribosomal RNA is filed under the name uncultured Glomus. RNAcentral's name for it is "SSU rRNA". It matches the Rfam family "Eukaryotic small subunit ribosomal RNA", at positions 569 to 1023 of the family's 1831-position model. Lineage: Eukaryota; Fungi; Glomeromycota; Glomeromycetes; Glomerales; Glomeraceae. The record is from RNAcentral.